UUGAUCCUGGCUCAGGAUGAACGCUAGCGGCAGGCUUAACACAUGCAAGUCGAGGGGUAUAUUUCUUCGGAGAUAGAGACCGGCGCACGGGUGCGUAACGCGUAUGCAAUCUACCUUUUACAGGGGGAUAGCCCAGAGAAAUUUGGAUUAAUACCCCAUAGUAUAUAUGAAUGGCAUCAUUUAUAUAUUAAAGUCACAACGGUAAAAGAUGAGCAUGCGUCCCAUUAGCUAGAUGGUAAGGUAACGGCUUACCAUGGCAACGAUGGGUAGGGGUCCUGAGAGGGAGAUCCCCCACACUGGUACUGAGACACGGACCAGACUCCUACGGGAGGCAGCAGUGAGGAAUAUUGGACAAUGGGCGCAAGCCUGAUCCAGCCAUGCCGCGUGCAGGAUGACGGUCCUAUGGAUUGUAAACUGCUUUUAUACGAGAAGAAACACUCCUUCGUGAAGGAAUUUGACGGUAUCGUAAGAAUAAGGA
This 478-nucleotide ribosomal RNA is filed under the name Flavobacterium sp. DB4.1-15. Its description in RNAcentral is "bacterial SSU rRNA". It matches the Rfam family "Bacterial small subunit ribosomal RNA", at positions 13 to 492 of the family's 1533-position model. Lineage: Bacteria; Pseudomonadati; Bacteroidota; Flavobacteriia; Flavobacteriales; Flavobacteriaceae. The record is from RNAcentral.